UGUGGGAGCGGGCUUGCUCGCGAUAGCGGUGGAUCAGUCAGUAAUUUUUUUGACUGAUCCACCGCUAUCGCGAGCAAGCCCGCUCCCACA
RNAcentral lists this unclassified non-coding RNA (90 nucleotides) under Pseudomonas gessardii. The record is from RNAcentral. Lineage: Bacteria; Pseudomonadati; Pseudomonadota; Gammaproteobacteria; Pseudomonadales; Pseudomonadaceae.